This 533-nucleotide ribosomal RNA is filed under the name uncultured bacterium. RNAcentral describes it as "bacterial SSU rRNA". It matches the Rfam family "Bacterial small subunit ribosomal RNA", at positions 94 to 630 of the family's 1533-position model. The record is from RNAcentral.
AGUGGCGAAUGGGGUGUAACACGUGAGUAAUCUGCCUAAAAGUGGGGGAUAGCUCGCCGAAAGGCGAAUUAAUACCGCAUGUGGUUGUGAAACCAAAGCCGGGGCAACCUGGCGCUUUUGGAGGAGCUCGCGGCCUAUCAGCUUGUUGGUGAGGUAACGGCUUACCAAGGCAACGACGGGUAGCUGGUCUGAGAGGACGACCAGCCACACUGGAACUGAGACACGGUCCAGACACCUACGGGUGGCAGCAGUCGAGAAUUUUUCUCAAUGGGGGAAACCCUGAAGGAGCGACGCCGCGUGGAGGAUGAAGGCUUUCGGGUUGUAAACUCCUGUCAUUUGGGAACAAAAUCUUACGUUAACUGCGUGGAGAUUUGAUAGUACCGAAAGAGGAAGAGACGGCUAACUCUGUGCCAGCAGCCGCGGUAAUACAGAGGUCUCAAGCGUUGUUCGGAUUCAUUGGGCGUAAAGGGCGCGUAGGCGGCGGGGUAAGUCGGGUGUGAAAUCUCAGAGCUCAACUCUGAAACUGCACUCGA